CUCCAGGACCACCUAAUAAUUCC
This 23-nucleotide microRNA is filed under the name Rosa chinensis. RNAcentral describes it as "sRNA RchiOBHm_Chr5g0082985". Lineage: Eukaryota; Viridiplantae; Streptophyta; Magnoliopsida; Rosales; Rosaceae. The record is from RNAcentral.